This 324-nucleotide ribosomal RNA is filed under the name uncultured Pseudomonas sp. RNAcentral describes it as "bacterial SSU rRNA". It matches the Rfam family "Bacterial small subunit ribosomal RNA", at positions 61 to 387 of the family's 1533-position model. The record is from RNAcentral. Lineage: Bacteria; Pseudomonadati; Pseudomonadota; Gammaproteobacteria; Pseudomonadales; Pseudomonadaceae.
GUCGAGCGGAUGACGGGGGCUUGCUCCUUGAUUCAGCGGCGGACGGGUGAGUAAUGCCUAUUAAUCUGCCUGGUAGUGGGGGACAACGUUUCGAAAGGAACGCUAAUACCGCAUACGUCCUACGGGAGAAAGCAGGGGACCUUCGGGCCUUGCGCUAUCAGAUGAGCCUAGGUCGGAUUAGCUAGUUGGUGGGGUAAUGGCUCACCAAGGCGACGAUCCGUAACUGGUCUGAGAGGAUGAUCAGUCACACUGGAACUGAGACACGGUCCACACUCCUACCGGAGGCAGCAGUGGGGAAUAUUGGACAAUGGGCGAAAGCCUGAU